RNAcentral lists this ribosomal RNA (516 nucleotides) under uncultured bacterium. RNAcentral describes it as "bacterial SSU rRNA". It matches the Rfam family "Bacterial small subunit ribosomal RNA", at positions 28 to 564 of the family's 1533-position model. The record is from RNAcentral.
GGUGAACGCUGGCGGCGUGGAUAAGGCAUGCAAGUCAAACGGAACUAGCUUGCGAUUACAUCAAGAGUUAGUUUAGUGGCGAACGAGUUAGUAACACCUUGGUACAUACCCCACAGACAGGGAUAACCAGCCGAAAGGUUGGCUAAUACCUGAUGGUCUCGUGAGAGUAAAGCAGCAAUGUGCUGUGGGAGUGGCCUAGGUCCUAUCAGCUAGUUGGUAGUGUAAUGGACUACCAAGGCUAUGACGGGUAGGGGAGAUGAGAGUUUGAUCCCCAACGAUGGAACUGAGAUACGGUCCUUACACCUACGGGUGGCUGCAGUCGAGAAUCUUCGACAAUGGGCGAAAGCCUGAUCGAGCGACGCCGCGUGGAGGAUGAAGCCCUUCGGGGUGUAAACUUCUUUUGUCAAGGGAGGAACUUUUGUGACUGUACCUUGCGAAUAAGGGGGUCCUAAUUCUGUGCCAGCAGGAGCGGUAAGACAGAACCCCCAAGCGUUACCCGGAAUUAUUGGGCGUAAA